UGAGGAAUCUUCCGCAAUGGGCGCAAGCCUGACGGAGCAACGCCGCGUGCAGGAUGACGGCCUUCGGGUUGUAAACUGCUUUUAUUUGGGAAGAUUAUGACGGUACCAAAUGAAUAAGGAUCGGCUAACUACGUGCCAGCAGCCGCGGUAAUACGUAGGAUCCAAGCGUUAUCCGGAUUUACUGGGCGUAAAGCGUGUGUAGGCGGCGUGUUAAGUGGGAUGUGAAAUCGUGUGGCUCAACCAUAUCGACUGUAUCCUAUACUGGCACGCUAGAGGACGGCAGAGGCUAGUGGAAUUUACGGUGUAGCAGUGAAAUGCGUAGAUAUCGUAAGGAACACCAAUGGCGAAGGCAGCUAGCUGGGCCGUCCCUGACGCUGAGACACGAAAGCGUGGGGAGCGAACAGGAUUAGAUACCCGCGUAGUCC
This 425-nucleotide ribosomal RNA is filed under the name uncultured bacterium. Its description in RNAcentral is "bacterial SSU rRNA". It matches the Rfam family "Bacterial small subunit ribosomal RNA", at positions 355 to 796 of the family's 1533-position model. The record is from RNAcentral.